AAUUCAGCCCGAAAACAUUAAAAGGUUGAAGUAUGAGUGGGACAAUUGGACCCAGGACGAGGUGGACCACUUUAGAGUAGAAUAUGCUUCCUGGAUUCUAUUCCAUGAAAUGAAUCAAGACAAAGCUGAAGCCAUUAGAGGAAGUAAUGCAAUAAGACUGUCCAAGCCAUCCUCAUUGUUAUUGAGUCCAUAUUGUCAGAUAGAUUCUAAUGAUAUUGACACUGAUUAAUGUAACUGUUAUAUAGUCUUGUAAGAAAUUGAACAGAUGAUGUAAAAAUUUGCCAAUUAUGAGUAAAA
This is a non-coding RNA of Arachis ipaensis, 297 nucleotides long. NCBI's taxonomy places the organism in Eukaryota, Viridiplantae, Streptophyta, Magnoliopsida, Fabales, Fabaceae. The record is from RefSeq and is a predicted model, not a curated record.